UGGGGAUGAUAUCACGAGGCCAGGAACAGAGGAACGAAGACGGGAUCCAUCCUUAUACCAACUGCAAGGGAAAGAUUGAUAAUGACCAGGUGGACAUCUAGACCAAGGUUUGACCGACCCAAAGCACAAGCUUGCUACCAUAAAAUUAGACCUGGUGUCUAGCAAUUUGUCUGCCAAGAAAAGAGAGUUGGUAUUCCUUCAGAUGCAUUUGAACCUGUACCUGGAUCCCCUUCCCGCAUUAGCCGAAUGUAAAAGUCUU
Molecule: long non-coding RNA, 259 nt
Organism: Pelobates fuscus (common spadefoot toad)
Lineage: Eukaryota; Metazoa; Chordata; Amphibia; Anura; Pelobatidae
Exons: 3
Source: RefSeq, a predicted model, not a curated record